AGCGUAGGCGGACUUUUAAGUGGGAUGUGAAAUACCCGGGCUCAACCUGGGUGCUGCAUUCCAAACUGGAAGUCUAGAGUGCGGGAGAGGAGAGUGGAAUUCCUAGUGUAGCGGUGAAAUGCGUAGAGAUUAGGAAGAACACCAGUGGCGAAGGCGACUCUCUGGACCGUAACUGACGCUGAGGCUCGAAAGCGUGGGGAGCAAACAGGAUUAGAUACCCCCGUA
This 225-nucleotide ribosomal RNA is filed under the name uncultured Clostridium sp. Its description in RNAcentral is "partial 16S ribosomal RNA". It matches the Rfam family "Bacterial small subunit ribosomal RNA", at positions 568 to 792 of the family's 1533-position model. The record is from RNAcentral. Lineage: Bacteria; Bacillati; Bacillota; Clostridia; Eubacteriales; Clostridiaceae.